AACCUGGUUGAUCCUGCCAGUAGUCAUAUGCUUGUCUCAAAGAUUAAGCCAUGCAUGUCUAAGUAUAAACUUUUAUACGGUGAAACUGCAGACGGCUCAUUACAACAGUGAUAAACUACAGAACUUUCGAGCGUAAGCUUUUUGGAUAACCGCAGUAAAUCGGGGCUAAUACAUAUAAACGGAAGGCGAUUGGGCAACCAAGAGUCCUUGCGAUUACUAGCUUCAAACCAACCUCUAUGAGAUUGAGUUGAAACCGAAUAAUAUUGCUGAUCAGAAUUUAAUUCUGACAAGUUCUAUGUGUCACUGCCCUAUCAACUUUCGAUGGUACGGUAUUGGCCUACCAUGGUUGUAACGGGUAACGGGGAAUCAGGGUUCGAUUCCGGAGAGGGAGCCUGAGAAAUGGCUACCACUUCUACGGAAGGCAGCAGGCGCGCAAAUUACUCAAUCCCAAUACGGGGAAGUAGUGACAAUAAAUACUAAUGUUCUUCCAUUUUAUGGAGAACAAUUGGAAUAAGUACAACGUAAAUAGCUUAGCAAAAGUAAUUGGAGGGCAAGUCUGGUGCCAGCAGCCGCGGUAAUUCCAGCUCCAAUAGCGUAUACUAAAUUUGUUGCAGUUAAAAAGCUCGUAGUUUAGGCAGAGGUCAUUCGGAUUCAUUAAUUUCACCUUCAAAAGUGACUUUAAAGGCUAUAUCACGCUUCGGUUGUGUUUAUGGUCACCGAUGACUUGUAUUAUGACGUUAUUUGUUAGUUUACUAGCUUAUAAUCGUCAAUCCACUGUGAGAAAAUUGUGGUGUUUAAAGCAGGCGUUCUAGUCUGAUCAAUGCAGCAUGGUAUGGUAAAAUAUGACACUUAACAUUUGUUGGUUUACUUUGUUAUAGUGUAAUGACUAAUAGGGAAGGGCGGGGCCGUUCAUAUUGAUGGGCGAGAGGUGAAAUUCGUUGACCCUAUCAAGAUGCACUACAGCGAAAGCAUUCGGCAAGUACUUCUCCAUUAAUCAAGAACGAAAGUUUGGGGAUCGAAGACGAUCAGAUACCGUCGUAGUCCAAACCAUAAAUGAUGUCGAUCAGGGAUCGGUAGGAUUUAAUUGUAAAUUCUUAUCGGAACCUUGUGAGAAAUCAUGAAUGUUUGGACUCUGGGGGGAGUAUGGUCGCAAGGCUGAAACUUAAAGGAAUUGACGGAAGGGCACACAAUGGAGUGGAACCUGCGGCUUAAUUUGACUCAACUCGGGAAAACUUACCAAGCUCAGAUAUAAUAAGGAUUGACAGACUAAAAGAUCUUUCAUGAUUGUAUAAGUGGUGGUGCAUGGUCGUUCUUAGUUGGUGGAGUGAUUUGUCUGGUCAAUUCCGAUAACGGACGAGACGUCUACUUGCUAACUAGUAGGAUUUAUUUUUCCAAAUGGGGGAUAGUUAGUUGGUGGUAGUAUUCAUUCGCAAGGGUGGGUAUUCCAUUGAUUAGUGUGUACUCUGGAUUGAUAGAUUUUAGUAAAAACAUAAACUUCUUAGAAGGACUACCUACCUCAAGUAGGGGGAAGUCGGACGCAAUAACAGGUCUGUGAUGCCCUUAGAUACCUUGGGCUGCACGCGCGUUACAAUGCAGCAUAGAAAAAGGCUCCGUUGCUGGAAAGCAAUGGUAAUCAAAAGAAUAUACUACGUAAUAGGGAUUGAUCUUUGUAAUUAUCGAUCAUAAACGAGGAAUUCCUUGUAAGCGUAAUUCAUUACAUUACGCUGAAUAUGUCCCUGCCCUUUGUACACACCGCCCGUCGCUCCUACCGAUCGAAUGAUUAGGUAAAACUGACAGAUAAAAAUUUUUGUAAAAAAAUGUAGAAGUUAUUUAAAUCUCAUUGUUUAGAGGAAGGAGAAGUCGUAACAAGGUAUCCGUAGGUGAACCUGCAGAAGGAUCAA
Molecule: ribosomal RNA, 1901 nt
Filed under: Acytostelium anastomosans
Lineage: Eukaryota; Evosea; Eumycetozoa; Acytosteliales; Acytosteliaceae
Description: bacterial SSU rRNA
Rfam family: Eukaryotic small subunit ribosomal RNA
Source: RNAcentral